Molecule: ribosomal RNA, 843 nt
Filed under: Triticum aestivum (bread wheat)
Lineage: Eukaryota; Viridiplantae; Streptophyta; Magnoliopsida; Poales; Poaceae
Description: partial small subunit ribosomal RNA
Source: RNAcentral
AUGAGUGUUCUGUCAAGAAGCGGGCAGAGGUUUCUCUGGGUGGUGCACCACCCCAACGAAAAGGACAGCAGCGCGGCCUACCUCGGCACUGCCGCUACCGAUGCCGACCCGCUGAGCUACCUGCCCGAAGGGUUCGUCGAGAGGAUGAGCGGCACAGGGCUCCUUGUGCCACUAUGGGCACCGCAGGUGGAGAUCCUUAACCACGCCGCCGUGGGAGGGUUCAUGUCUCAUUGCGGAUGGAACUCCACGCUGGAGAGCGUGUCGGCGGGCGUGCCGAUGGUGGCGUGGCCGUUGUACGCCGAGCAGAGGUUGAACGCAGUGAUGUUGUCGUCGGAGCGGGUGGGCCUGGCGUUGUAUGUAAGGCCUCCGCUCGGUAAGGACGGUGCGGUUGUCCCACGGGACGACGUGGCGGCGCUGGUCAGGGCGCUUAUGGAAGUGGAGAAGGGCGCCGCGGCGCGGAAAAAGGCCGGCCACCUCCGGGCUGAGGCCAAGAUUGCUUCGGCGCCGGGCGGGCCGCAGGAUCGAGCUCUCACGGUAGUGGCUCGCAUGAUUUCCUUGCAUCGGAAGAGCCACGAUAUGAAAGCAAUUUUACAUGUGUGGAAAACUUUGGGUCUAUCUGAGGCGAUUCAACAUGCUUUGUGUGCGGAUAGAUUGGGAUCAGUUGUUGGAAGCGCUCCUUUAUCUGAUGUCCUCAAUGCGGCGUCUGCUGAGGCCCUGUCGGUUCAUAAAAGUAUUGAUCUCAUUGAGCACUUGGAAUGCAUGAAUUUGGCUAUAGAAUCAGACUCUUUGGAAGUUAUUAGUGCAUGCAGAGGCGAGUUCGAGGUGCUAGCCCCCUAUGGAUAA